GAGUUUUGAUCAUGGCUCAGGAUGAACGCUAGCUACAGGCUUAACACAUGCAAGUCGAGGGGCGAGCAUGGUCUUAGCUUGCUAAGGCCGAUUGGCGACCGGCGCACGGGUGAGUAACACGUAUCCAACCUGCCGUCUACUCUUGGACAGCCUUCUGAAAGGAAGAUUAAUACAAGAUGGCAUCAUGAGUUCACAUGUUCACAUGAUUAAAGGUUUUCCGGUAGACGAUGGGGAUGCGUUCCAUUAGAUAGUAGGCGGGGUAACGGCCCACCUAGUCUUCGAUGGAUAGGGGUUCUGAGAGGAAGGUCCCCCACAUUGGAACUGAGACACGGUCCAAACUCCUACGGGAGGCAGCA
RNAcentral lists this ribosomal RNA (356 nucleotides) under uncultured bacterium. Its description in RNAcentral is "bacterial SSU rRNA". It matches the Rfam family "Bacterial small subunit ribosomal RNA", at positions 9 to 353 of the family's 1533-position model. The record is from RNAcentral.